AACGAACGCUGGCGGCAGGCCUAACACAUGCAAGUCGAACGGGAUCUUCGGAUCUAGUGGCGGACGGGUGAGUAACGCGUGGGAACGUGCCCUUUGGUUCGGAAUAGCCCCGGGAAACUGGGAGUAAUACCGGAUAAGCCCUACGGGGGAAAGAUUUAUCGCCAAAGGAUCGGCCCGGGUUGGAUGAGGUUGUUGGUGAGGUAAUGGCUCACCAAGCCGACGAUCCAUAGCUGGUUUGGGAGGAUGAUCAGCCACACUGGGACUGAGACACGGCCCAGACUCCUACGGGAGGCAGCAGUGGGGAAUCUUAGACAAUGGGGGAAACCCUGAUCUAGCCAUGCCGCGUGAUCGAUGAAGGCCUUAGGGUUGUAAAGAUCUUUCAGUGGGGAAGAUAAUGACUGUACCCACAGAAGAAGCCCCGGCUAACUCCGUGCCAGCCGCCGCCGUAA
Molecule: ribosomal RNA, 449 nt
Filed under: uncultured bacterium
Lineage: Bacteria
Description: partial 16S ribosomal RNA
Rfam family: Bacterial small subunit ribosomal RNA
Source: RNAcentral